Molecule: ribosomal RNA, 306 nt
Filed under: uncultured bacterium
Lineage: Bacteria
Description: bacterial SSU rRNA
Rfam family: Bacterial small subunit ribosomal RNA
Source: RNAcentral
AUUGAACGCUGGCGGCAGGCCUAACACAUGCAAGUCGAGCGGUAGAGAGGUGCUUGCAUCUCUUGAGAGCGGCGGACGGGUGAGUAAUGCCUAGGAAUCUGCCUAGUGGUGGGGGAUAACGUUCGGAAACGGACGCUAAUACCGCAUACGUCCUACGGGAGAAAGCGGGGGAUCUUCGGACCUCGCGCCAUUAGAUGAGCCUAGGUCGGAUUAGCUAGUUGGUGAGGUAAUGGCUCACCAAGGCGACGAUCCGUAGCUGGUUUGAGAGGACGACCAGCCACACUGGGACUGAGACACGGCCCAGAC